RNAcentral lists this ribosomal RNA (459 nucleotides) under uncultured bacterium. Its description in RNAcentral is "partial 16S ribosomal RNA". It matches the Rfam family "Bacterial small subunit ribosomal RNA", at positions 338 to 795 of the family's 1533-position model. The record is from RNAcentral.
CCUACGGGAGGCAGCAGUGAGGAAUAUUGGUCAAUGGCCGUGAGCCUGAACCAGCCAAGUCGCGUGAGGGAAGACUGCCCUAUGGAUUGUAAACCUCUUUUGUCGGGGAGCAAAAGAUGCCACGCGUGGCGGUUUGCGAGUACCCGAUGAAAAAGCACCGGCUAACUCCGUGCCAGCAGCCGCGGUAAUACGGAGGAUGCGAGCGUUAUCCGGAUUUAUUGGGUUUAAAGGGAGCGCAGGCGGGAUGUAAAGUGGGCGGUAAAAUUGUGUGGCUCAACCUCUGAGAGCCGUUGAAACUGGUUACCUUGAGUGCGCGAGAGGUAUGCGGAAUGCGUGGUGUAGCGGUGAAAUGCAUAGAUAUCACGCAGAACUCCGAUUGCGAAGGCAGCAUACCGGCGCUUAACUGACGCUGAUGCACGAAAGUGUGGGUAUCGAACAGGAUUAGAUACCCGAGUAGUC